This 573-nucleotide small RNA is filed under the name Pan troglodytes (chimpanzee). RNAcentral's name for it is "processed transcript". Lineage: Eukaryota; Metazoa; Chordata; Mammalia; Primates; Hominidae. The record is from RNAcentral.
ACACUAAGAGGCUUCUGCGAUUUUGGAUUUGUUUUAUAUAUGGCAGAUCUCUAGAAUGGAGUGCCCGUGCGCAGCGGAGAUGCCACCUUCCCCAAAGCUAUGGACAACGUGACGGUCCGGCAGGGGGAGAGCGCCACCCUCAGUAUCUCCCAAAAUUGUAGAGAUUUCUUCAGAUAUCUCCAUUAACGAAGGGAACAAUAUCAGCCUCACCUGCAUAGCAACUGGUAGACCAGAGCCUACGGUUACUUGGAGACACAUCUCCCCCAAAGCGGUUGGCUUUGUGAGUGAAGACGAAUACUUGGAAAUUCAGGGCAUCACCCGGGAGCAGUCAGGGGACUACGAGUGCAGUGCCUCCAAUGACGUGGCCGCGCCCGUGGUACGGAGAGUAAAGGUCACCGUGAACUAUCCACCAUACAUUUCAGAAGCCAAGGGUACAGGUGUCCCCGUGGGACAAAAGGGGACACUGCAGUGUGAAGCCUCAGCAGUCCCCUCAGCAGAAUUCCAGUGGUACAAGGAUGACAAAAGACUGAUUGAAGGAAAGAAAGGGGUGAAAGUGGAAAACAGACCUUUCCU